RNAcentral lists this ribosomal RNA (433 nucleotides) under uncultured bacterium. Its description in RNAcentral is "partial 16S ribosomal RNA". It matches the Rfam family "Bacterial small subunit ribosomal RNA", at positions 29 to 507 of the family's 1533-position model. The record is from RNAcentral.
AACGAACGCUGGCGGCAUGCCUAACACAUGCAAGUCGAACGAGACCUUCGGGUCUAUUGGCGCACGGGUGCGUAACGCGUGGGAACCUGCCCUUAGGUACGGAAUAACUCCCCGAAAGGGGUGCUAAUACCGGAUAAGGUCUUCGGACCAAAGAUUUAUCGCCUUUGGAUGGGCCCGCGUUGGAUUCGCUAGUUGGUAGGGUAAAAGCCUACCAAGGCGACGAUCCAUAGCUUGUCUGAGAGGAUGAUCAGCCACACUGGGACUGAGACACGGCCCAGACUCCUACGGGAGGCGGCAGUGGGGAAUAUUGGAAAAUGGGCGAAAGCCUGAUCCAGCAAUGCCGCGUGAGUGAUGAAGGCCUUAGGGUUGUAAAGCUCUUUUACCCGGGAUGAUAAUGACAGUACCGGGAGAAUAAGCUCCGGCUAACUCCGUG